This 388-nucleotide unclassified non-coding RNA is filed under the name soil metagenome. RNAcentral describes it as "partial contains 5.8S ribosomal RNA, internal transcribed spacer 2, and large subunit ribosomal RNA". The stretch from base 3 to 120 matches the Rfam family "5.8S ribosomal RNA", at positions 37 to 154 of the family's 154-position model. The record is from RNAcentral.
GGUGAAGAACGUAGCGAAAUGCGAUAAGUAAUGUGAAUUGCAGAAUUCAGUGAAUCAUCGAAUCUUUGAACGCACCUUGCGCUCCUUGGUAUUCCGAGGAGCAUGCCUGUUUGAGUGUCAUUAAAUUCUCAACCUCACCAGUUUUGUAACGAGACAGGUGAAGGCUUGGAUGUGGGGGUUUUGCCGGCUGCCUCAGUGCUGGUCUGCUCUCCUGAAAUGCAUUAGCGAGCUCAUAUUGAGCUUCCGUCUAUUGGUGUGAUAAUUAUCUACGCCGUGGAUUGGACUCAUGCUUGCUUCUAACUGUCCGCAAGGACAAUUUACUUGACCAAUUUGACCUCAAAUCAGGUAGGACUACCCGCUGAACUUAAGCAUAUCAAUAAGCGGAGGA